AUGCGGCGCCGCCACCCGCUGCGGCCAAGGGCACCUGCGCUCCCGCUUCUCCUUUUCCUCGCCGUCGCCGUUGCGCCGCCGCCGGCCGCCGCGGUGGGCGUGAACUGGGGCUUCGCGGCAUCCCACCCGCUCCCGGCGGCGCAGGUCGUGCGUGACCUCCUCCUCCCCAACUCCGUCCCUCGCGUGCGCCUCUCCGCCGCCUCGCCCGACGCGCUGACCGCCCUUGCCGGCACCCGCAUCGCCGUUACCGUCGGGGUCCCGAACGAGCUGCUCCGCCCCCUCGCCUCCUCCAGGAAGGCAGCCGCCGCCUGGGUCCACGACAAUGUCACCCGCUACGCCUCCGGCGUACUGUUCGAGUUUAUUGCUGUUGGAGAUGAUCCAUUUCUUCUUAAUCACGGGCAGCAGUUUCAACCUUUUGUGGUUCGUGCAGCAGCGAAUAUUCAACGGGCAUUGGAUGAUGCAAAGUUAUCCAGCAAGAUGAAAGUAGUUGUGCCUUGUAGCUCUGAUGCGUACCAAAACACAUCAACUCUGCCUUCGAAAGCUUACUUCAGGCCAGAUGUUAACAAAACCAUGGUUGAGCUCCUCCCAUUUCUUGCAAAUCAUAGCUCACCGUUUAUGGUCGAGCUGAAUCCUAUUUUGAGCUUUCAGCAGAAGAAAAAUAUUUCAUUGGACUAUUACCUUUUCCAACUAAUGUCACGUCCAAUAAGUGAUGGUCAUAACAAGUAUGACAACUACUUCGAUGCGAGCAUAGAUGCUCUGGUUACUGCUCUAACUAAAGCUGGAUUCAGCGAUAUGGACAUCAUUGUUGGGAGAGCAGGAUGGCCAACAGAUGGAGCUGUGAACGCAACUUCGGCUAUUGCUCAAUCCUUCAUGACAGGCCUGGUCAACCACCUGGCGAGAAAAUCUGGGACUCCACUUCGCCCAAAAUUUGCUCCAACUGAGACAUACCUCUACAGCCUUUUAGACGAAGAUCAACACAGUAUAGCAACCGGAAGUUAUGACAGGCACUAUGGCAUUUUUACGUUUGACGGCCAAGCAAAGUAUCAUGUCAACUUGGGUCAAGGCCCUAUGGCGCUCAAGAAUGCUCUGGAUGUGGACUACCUUCCAUCGAAAUGGUGCGUGGUGGACAACAACAAAGACUUAUCCAAUGUUUCUUCCAGUUUCUCUGCCGCUUGCUCCAAUGCCGACUGCACCGCUCUGUCCACUGGUUGCUCCUGUGCAGGUCUUGGCUGGCCUGGAAAUGUGUCAUUUGCCUUCAACAGUUACUACCAGCAGCAUGAUCAGAGUGAGGAGAGCUGCAGCUUCAAUGGCCUAGGUUUGAUAACCACCGUUGAUCCAUCCGUCGAUAAUUGCCUCUUUGCUCUUGCAAUUCGCGCUUCUGCUGCCACUUCCUUUCACCCAACAUUUGCCGUGCUGUGGAUACUAGUUUCGGUUUGCAUUUACAGUUUAGUCUGA
Molecule: ribosomal RNA, 1455 nt
Filed under: Triticum aestivum (bread wheat)
Lineage: Eukaryota; Viridiplantae; Streptophyta; Magnoliopsida; Poales; Poaceae
Description: partial small subunit ribosomal RNA
Source: RNAcentral